RNAcentral lists this ribosomal RNA (460 nucleotides) under uncultured bacterium. Its description in RNAcentral is "partial 16S ribosomal RNA". It matches the Rfam family "Bacterial small subunit ribosomal RNA", at positions 338 to 795 of the family's 1533-position model. The record is from RNAcentral.
CCUACGGGUGACAGCAGUGAGGAAUAUUGGUCAAUGGUCGGGAGACUGAACCAGCCAAGCCGCGUGAGGGAUGAAGGUACAGAGUAUUGUAAACCUCUUUUGUCAGGGAACAAAGGCGGAGACGCGUCCCCGGAUGAGUGUACCUGAAGAAAAAGCAUCGGCUAACUACGUGCCAGCAGCCGCGGUAAUACGGAGGAGGCAAGCGUUAUCCGGAUUUAUUGGGUGUAAAGGGUGCGUAGGCGGCCGGGUAAGUCAGGUGUGAAAUCCCAUGGCUUAACCAUGGAACUGCUUUGGAAACUGUGCAGCUAGAGAGCAGGAGAGGUAGGCGGAAUGUGUAGUGUAGCGGUGAAAUGCGUAGAUAUCAGGAGGAACACCGGUGGCGAAGGCAGCUUACUGGGCUGUAACUGACGUUGAGGCACGAAAGCGUGGGGAGCAAACAGGAUUAGAUACCCCUGUAGUC